CAGGAUGAACGCUAGCGGCAGGCUAACACAUGCAAGUCGAGGGGCAGCGGGAUGUAGCAAUACAUUGCCGGCGACCGGCGGAUGGGUGCGUAACGCGUAUGCAACCUACCUUAUACAGGGGAAUAACCUUCGAAAGGGAGACUAACACCCCAUAGUAUUGAUUUAAGGCAUCUUAGAUUAAUUAAAUAUUUAUAGGUAUAAGAUGGGCAUGCGUAUGAUUAGCUAGUUGGUAAGGUAACGGCUUACCAAGGCGACGAUCAUUAGGGGUUCUGAGAGGAAGGUCCCCCACACUGGUACUGAGACACGGACCAGACUCCUACGGGAGGCAGCAGUGAGGAAUAUUGGUCAAUGGGCGCAAGCCUGAACCAGCCAUGCCGCGUGCAGGAAAAGACGGCCUUAUGGGUUGUAAACUGCUUUUACAUAAGACUAACCGUAUAUUUGCGAAUAUACCUGAAUGUAUUAUGAGAAUAAGGAUCGGCUAACUCCGUGCCAGCAGCGGC
RNAcentral lists this ribosomal RNA (500 nucleotides) under uncultured bacterium. RNAcentral's name for it is "bacterial SSU rRNA". It matches the Rfam family "Bacterial small subunit ribosomal RNA", at positions 25 to 518 of the family's 1533-position model. The record is from RNAcentral.